ACCUUUUGCCAGAGGAGACAAAAACAACCAGCAGAAGCAGGUAAAUCAUCCACCACUCCAGACGCCGUUCACAUUUCCACGCACCUCAAAUGACGAGCGUACAGAUUCCAUCAUCGACUCUAUUUGGUUCCAAGUCAUCGAUUUACAGAUCGUCCACUAUCUUCCGCUCUCCAUCUCCCUUCAGAAUUGGUUCUGAUGGCAGCUUGAAUUCGAAAACCUUUCGGGUGUGCAGAAUAUCAUGUGAUUAUUCAUGCUUUGAAAUAAAGGACGUCAGCUACCGACCUCCAGGAACCGAGAUUAAUCUUUUGAAUGGAAUUAGUUUCUCCCUUCAAGAAAAAAGCUUUGGGCUCAUCUUCGGACGAAGUGGAAGCGGGAAAACAACUCUUUUGCAGCUGAUUGCAGGAUUAAGUAAACCAACAUCAGGCUCCAUCUACAUCCAAAGAUAUACUGAUGAUGGUUAUCCAAAUCAGUCUCCAGAAUUUUUGCACCCAAGAAGAGUGGGUAUUGUUUUCCAGUUUCCUGAAAGGUACUUUGUUGCAGACAAUGUUCUUGAUGAAAUAAUAUUUGGGUGGCCAAGACAAAGAGGUGGCCUGCAAUUGAGAGAGCUACUUGCUUCAAGACUCCAAAAAGCUAUGACUUCGGUUGGUCUAAAUGGAAUCUCUUUGGACAAAGAUCCCCAAUCUCUAAGUGGUGGAUACAAACGCCGGCUUGCCCUAGCAAUUCAGUUAGUGCAAAUGCCAGAGCUGUUGAUAUUGGAUGAGCCUCUUGCUGGUCUAGAUUGGAAGGCCCGUGCAGAUGUUGUUAAGUUGUUGAAAGACUUGAAGAACAAGCUGACGUUGCUUGUUGUCAGCCAUGACCUUAAGGAGUUGGCGCCUCUGGUAGACCAAUCUUGGAGGAUGGAAAUGGAUGGAGUAUUGAAGAGUGAAUGCCUGCCUGUUUGAUUGCAUAUUUCUUGCUACCUAAUAAGCUAAUGAUUCUGAUAUUUAGGUAUACCGUAUACCGUAAUUGGUAGGGCUACACAGGAUCAUUAGAUUCAUACGACACUUUCGGAUGAAAAGAUAAUUGAUUCUUGACAGAUGCGUUGUACACAGGGCCUCCAGCCUCAUAAUCCAACAUGGCCAUAGGGGAGCAGAAAAGAAACAAUUCAGAAACUGUUGGCCGCACGACUGUGCUGGAAAGUCUUGUUUAUUUGGUAAGUCAACUUGGCAUUUCAUGCUGAAGUGCACAUGAAGAGUUGUUACACUGCGCGACUGUGUGGAUGUAAACUUGUGUUGCACCAAAAACUAUUUUUUGGCUGAUAACAGUGAAAACGCGUAGCGCCGUAGCCCAUGCUCCAAUCUAGAGAGGUACAUAUACUUGUUGGUCUUGGCUUGUCUGCUUCCAAUAUGUAUGAAGAUUUAUUGGAUGUCCUUUUAAUUAUAAUAUCAUAUGAAUUUCUUUUGAGAUGGAUUGGGCAUAUAUCUCUGUUUACAUGGAUUUCAGUGAGUAUGUGACUCAUUUGCAGUUAAGGUUCUCAAACUACAUGAUUUAAUCUACUCUGAUGAAAUACAGUAGUAUUUUUCUUUCCAGUAUUUGUAUUUGAAUUCAUUUGAUUCUCCGUUGUCUUGUUCUAUUGAUUUAUUUGUGCUUGCCAUAUGAUUUUGCAACUUGUGUUGUGUAUUUAUCAAUGAUACACCAAUUAUAUGGCAAUUACUGAAGCUGCUGAAUGCAAUGAUCUUGUCAUUUUCCAUCCCAGCGAUGCAUACAGAUGCAUUUGGACUUUUAUGCUUGACCAUACUUGACACCUCAUCAUGUACACUCUCUUACAAAUGUUAAUUGCUGCUUAGGAGUUGCUUAGUCAUAUCUUGCUUUCAGAUGUAGUAAAAGAUAUGACCUAAUACUGUGUGUGAGAGUGAGAGUGAUGCGCUUGGUUUAGUCCUAUCGCAGCAUGACAAUUUACUAACAUUAAUUUACGUAUUAAUGUGGAUUGGUAUGAACUUUUUUCUUUCGGCCACUUCUGGACCCCCACCGCAAUUCCUGCACAUUGUUUUUCCUACUAGCCAUUAUGCAUCCCCUUGUGCAAAUCCUGGAUCUUCCUGUUCAUUCGGUACAAGUGUAAAAUAUUUAGAGCAAUCAAGAAAGUAGCAGUGUGCAAGUGUAUAGGUUGCAUGUGAUGUGGUGCAACAACUUGCUAAUGUUUGUGAUAUGUGAUAAGAAAAAAUAUUGACGUGCUG
Sesamum indicum (sesame) is the source of this 2213-nucleotide RNA transcript. It is a transcript of the gene named non-intrinsic ABC protein 14, with no coding region annotated. The record is from RefSeq and is a predicted model, not a curated record. NCBI's taxonomy places the organism in Eukaryota, Viridiplantae, Streptophyta, Magnoliopsida, Lamiales, Pedaliaceae.